Molecule: long non-coding RNA, 504 nt
Filed under: Dasypus novemcinctus (nine-banded armadillo)
Lineage: Eukaryota; Metazoa; Chordata; Mammalia; Cingulata; Dasypodidae
Description: lncRNA (ENSDNOG00000050340.1)
Source: RNAcentral
CGCACGUAGGGCCUUUUGAGGGGGUUUUGAUAAAGGCCUCACUGAACCGAAUUUCUUUUUUUGUGAGCUGAUGGCUGAUCUGAUCCCGUAGCUGGAAGACUGCAAGGAACAAGCUGCUGCAAGCCAAGGAUUCAGGGAGCCCGUUGGGACUGGGAGCCCAUUCAAAUCGGGAGAGAGCACCCACAGGGGAAGUUUGGGUCCAGCUGCCCGCAGCCCAGGGAAAUGAGGGGACCAGGGCUGGCGGGGCUGCCGGGGGAGGCGGGUGCGCUGACACAGGCCGGCGUCCAGACGGGGAGCAGGAGGCUGGGGGCCGCCGAGCGGGCUCGGUCUGGUCCUGCAGGAAACGUCGGAGGCAACAGCCUGGUGAGAGCAGAGGAGAGCGCUGUGCUGUGUGGGCAGGAUGCUUUUCCUGGGUGAGACCCAGGAGCCUAGGGAAAUACGCAUAAUGAAGGUCUCUGUUGGCUGCCAGUCUGUACACAGCUUCCUGCUCCCCACAGCCCACCU